CCUACGGGAGGCAGCAGUGAGGAAUAUUGGUCAAUGGGCGUAAGCCUGAACCAGCCAAGUCGCGUGAGGGAUGAAGGUUCUAUGGAUCGUAAACCUCUUUUAUAAGGGAAUAAAGUGUGGGACGUGUCCUGAUUUGUAUGUACCUUAUGAAUAAGGAUCGGCUAACUCCGUGCCAGCAGCCGCGGUAAUACGGAGGAUACGAGCGUUAUCCGGAUUUAUUGGGUUUAAAGGGUGCGUAGGCGGCAUUUUAAGUCAGCGGUGAAAGUCUGUGGCUAAACCAUAGAAUUGCCGUUGAAACUGGUAGGCUUGAGUAUGUUUGAGGCAUGCGGAAUGCGUGGUGUAGCGGUGAAAUGCUUAGAUAUCACGCAGAACCCCGAUUGCGAAGGCAGCCUGCCAAGCCAUGACUGACGCUGAUGCACGAAAGCGUGGGGAUCAAACAGGAUUAGAUACCCGGGUAGUC
This 460-nucleotide ribosomal RNA is filed under the name uncultured bacterium. Its description in RNAcentral is "partial 16S ribosomal RNA". It matches the Rfam family "Bacterial small subunit ribosomal RNA", at positions 338 to 795 of the family's 1533-position model. The record is from RNAcentral.